AUUUAUAACAGAAAUUUGCCAAAGUAGCCUUUUCUUCGGGGCUACUAAACUAGUAAAGCAGAGACUGUGCGUAAAGGAGAGAAUCCCACACAUGCGCAGAAGCUUUGGAUUUAGUUGUCGGAAAAUGGUUCUAGAGAAUUCGGAUAUGCAGCCACUCUGUAUUUUGAAACUUUUCUUAAUCGUCUCAGGGGUACAAUCCUUGAUUCUGUUUCAUUCCCCCCCAGAUAAAUGGCAGCUCUGCUUUUUGGUUUGCUAAAAAGCUGCUGACAGACGUGACUGAAGAAAUGUAAUAAGUGGGUAACAUUCAUUGAAAUUACCAUUGAACAGCUGUACAUAUUGCAGAUUUCACCUUUAAAAAAUGAUUGACACUUUCUUUAGAAAUAUAUGAAAUGUACCAGUGAUCAGUUGUAUGAACACCCAUCCACCAACAUGCUAGCAGUGCUAAUUUACAUUAAGUUAUAAAAAGACUGACAUUGUUAGGGCCAACAGGAACCGGCGACCAUCGCACCACUUUGUAAAGAUGAGCAUGUCAGGUGGGACUUGGACAGUCAAAACUGGGGAUGACGAGACGACACUGCUAUUCUUAGCUUUUUUGUUCAGUGUUGAGAGAAGAAUUGGGACCCUACUUUCACCUCCACUACCACCCUAUAACCAGGCCACGAACGCCAGACUGCCAGCCACCAAAGUAGUUCUCAUUAUUACGAGAUGUGGAAGAUCAAACUUGUUUUAUAUUCCUACUGUGCAGGGUAACUAAGGAAUAAGCUAUGUGGAUGGAAGCCAUCGCAGCCUUGAAAUGCUUUCAAACAUCUGGUCGGACAACAAGGCCAGCAUCGUGUUCACUAGGCACCGGAUGGAACACAAUGGACUGAAACAGGGAGGGAUUUCCUGGCCUUGCCCCAGGAAAUUCCAGACUGACCUGGAAUUUGAAUUGAAUUAAAUGGAAUGUACAGGGAGCGAGAACUGAAUGAAAAUGCAAUUUGUGGAAUUGACACCAACCCUUGUACAGUGUGAUACUUUAUCCUCAACUGCAAUUAAAACAAAAUGUAAUUGAGCUCAUUAACU
This is a long non-coding RNA of Oncorhynchus tshawytscha (Chinook salmon), 1062 nucleotides long. NCBI's taxonomy places the organism in Eukaryota, Metazoa, Chordata, Actinopteri, Salmoniformes, Salmonidae. The record is from Ensembl.